Molecule: long non-coding RNA, 719 nt
Organism: Gadus macrocephalus (Pacific cod)
Lineage: Eukaryota; Metazoa; Chordata; Actinopteri; Gadiformes; Gadidae
Exons: 9
Source: RefSeq, a predicted model, not a curated record
CUGCCGCUCGCUCUCUACAGCCGUGGCCGCGAGCGGAGUGCGGCUCGACCCGACGGCGCGCUGUGUAGGUCUGCUGCCUCUCACAUGGAAAGCGCAGCUCCCUAGUUUCCCUUAGCUCGUCUCUCGCACGGCUCUCUGUGUCUCUGGCCGACCGCGACACACGUAGAGCAGUGCAAAACCCCGGGGGCCUGUAUUUGGAAUAAGAAAAGCAUUGCUGCUUUGCGACUGGACGGACGAAAGAAAGGACUCCUCUGACAUUUCCUGUGGAUGUUUUAAUUCGGACGCCUCGUUACCGAGGCUUUGCAGUCAACUGCCUGGGCAUAUAAUGUAACCAGCAGUUCUCCUGCAGGGAGGUUCAGAGGAGUUCUCUUCUUUCCUUUUUCUGGUCGUUGGCAGCAAUCGCGAUCAAGCAUUCCAAGCAGGUGGGGGUCAAAGGGGGGUCGUGGACCGAGUGGUGAGUUGGUGAGGAACGCCCGGGGCGUUGGACACGAUGUUGGCACCUGCAUGAACCCGACGUCGAAGCCUGGGCACCAGUUCUCUUUCCUGAGACAAAAACCGCAGGAUGGCGCUUGGGAAAGGUCUCGGGGGAGAGAAUGUUUCAUGACUUUCACACCUUCAACCUCAAGCUCUUGAACUGUCUGGGAGGUGGCUUGAGUGCUGAAAGGUAAGUUUGAAUUUAUGUUUUAGGACUGUAUUAUACACACACUCACUUGACUUGU